Molecule: unclassified non-coding RNA, 378 nt
Filed under: plant metagenome
Description: partial contains 5.8S ribosomal RNA, internal transcribed spacer 2, and large subunit ribosomal RNA
Rfam family: 5.8S ribosomal RNA (bases 1-105)
Source: RNAcentral
GAAAUGCGAUAAGUAAUGUGAAUUGCAGAAUUCAGUGAAUCAUCGAAUCUUUGAACGCACCUUGCGCUCCUUGGUAUUCCUUGGAGCAUGCCUGUUUGAGUAUCAUGAAAUCUUCAAAGUAAAUCUUUUGUUAACUCAAUUGGUUUCUACUUUGGUAUUGGAGGUCUUUGCAGCUUCACACCUGCUCCUCUUUGUUCAUUAGCUGGAUCUCAGUGUUAUGCUUGGUUCCACUCGGCGUUAUAAGUUAUCUAUCGCUGAGGACACUGUAAAAGGUGGCCAAGGUAAAUGCAGAUGAACCGCUUCUAAUAGUCCAUUGACUUGGACAAUACUUUUAUGAUCUGAUCUCAAAUCAGGUAGGACUACCCGCUGAACUUAAGC